UGCGUAGGUGGUGUGGUAAGUCUGUUGUUAAAUAUCCUGGCCUAACCAGGAAAAUGCAAUGGAAACUGCCGUUCUAGAGGGCGAAAGAGAGAGGUGGAAUUCCAGGAGUUAGCGGUCAAAUGCGUAGAUCUCUGGAGGAACACCGAUGGCGAAGGCAGCCUCUUGGUUCGCUUCUGACACUGAUGCACGAAAGCGUGGGGAGCAAACAGGAUUAGAUACCCUGGUAGUCCACGCUGUAAACGAUGAUCACUAGAUGUUGGUUCGGUUUGCCGGAUCAGUGUCGUAGCUAACGCGUUAAGUGAUCCGCCUGGGAAGUACGGUCGCAAGACUAAA
This 333-nucleotide ribosomal RNA is filed under the name uncultured bacterium. Its description in RNAcentral is "bacterial SSU rRNA". It matches the Rfam family "Bacterial small subunit ribosomal RNA", at positions 568 to 898 of the family's 1533-position model. The record is from RNAcentral.